RNAcentral lists this long non-coding RNA (145 nucleotides) under Fukomys damarensis (Damara mole-rat). RNAcentral's name for it is "lncRNA (ENSFDAG00000025150.1)". Lineage: Eukaryota; Metazoa; Chordata; Mammalia; Rodentia; Bathyergidae. The record is from RNAcentral.
AAAAAAACUGGAAGACGAUUGUCAACAAGCAAUUAUUUGGAUAUCAACAAGCAAUGAAACAAUUCUGAAGAUGUACAUGGGAUACUCAGAGGUACACACAUGCUGCAUAGAAAUAUAAGUUUGAUGAAAGAAUUUACAAGAUGAG